This 389-nucleotide transfer-messenger RNA is filed under the name Burkholderiales. Its description in RNAcentral is "Rhodoferax_B sp900104385 Standard tmRNA". It matches the Rfam family "transfer-messenger RNA". From Rfam's summary of the family: Bacterial tmRNA, also known as 10Sa RNA or SsrA, is named for its dual tRNA and mRNA-like properties. Its role is to liberate the mRNA from a stalled ribosome. The record is from RNAcentral. RNAcentral also lists the same sequence under 1 other name. Lineage: Bacteria; Pseudomonadati; Pseudomonadota; Betaproteobacteria.
GGGGCUGCACUGGUUUCGACGUGGGUUCGGACGCGCAGCAGGGCAUGUCGAGGUUCUGUCACCUCGUAAAACAGCAGAAAAAACCUAACUGCAAACGACGAACGUUUCGCACUCGCCGCUUAAUUGCGCGUGAGCCUCGCAACAGCAAGCCAAUAGGCUGGGCAAGGGUUGUAAUUCCGUAAGGUUUUACAGUCCAGGCUGCGGGGUAAUUUUAUUUGGCUGGGAGGGCACUGGGUAACUUAGUACUCUUCGAGAAAAUAGGUUGCUGGCGUUUUGCAUAGCGUGCCACUGCGCGAUGUAAAAGGCGAGACUUAAACCAGACGGCUACACAUGUAGAACUGUUCGAAGAAGGCUUGCGGACGGGGGUUCAAAUCCCCCCAGCUCCACCA